RNAcentral lists this ribosomal RNA (506 nucleotides) under uncultured bacterium. RNAcentral's name for it is "bacterial SSU rRNA". It matches the Rfam family "Bacterial small subunit ribosomal RNA", at positions 8 to 502 of the family's 1533-position model. The record is from RNAcentral.
AGAGUUUGAUCCUGGCUCAGAUUGAACGCUGGCGGUAGGCUUAACACAUGCAAGUCGAGCGGAAACGAAGAAUAGCUUGCUAUUCUGGCGUCGAGCGGCGGACGGGUGAGUAAUGCUUGGGAAUCUGCCUAGUCGAGGGGGACAACAGUUGGAAACGACUGCUAAUACCGCAUACGACCUACGGGUGAAAAGGGGCCUCUUCUUGAAAGCUCCUGCUAUUAGAUGAGCCCGCGUUGGAUUAGCUUGUUGGUAGGGUAAUGGCCUACCAAGGCGACGAUCCAUAGCUGGUUUGAGAGGAUGAUCAGCCACACUGGGACUGAGACACGGCCCAGACUCCUACGGGAGGCAGCAGUGGGGAAUAUUGGACAAUGGGCGAAAGCCUGAUCCAGCAAUACCGCGUGUGUGAAGAAGGCCUGAGGGUUGUAAAGCACUUUCAAUAGAGACGAAAAGCUUAGGGUUAAUAACCCUGAGUCUUGACUUAACCUAUAGAAGAAGCACCGCUAACU